This is a long non-coding RNA of Mytilus californianus (California mussel), 460 nucleotides long. RefSeq lists it as uncharacterized. Lineage: Eukaryota; Metazoa; Mollusca; Bivalvia; Mytilida; Mytilidae. The record is from RefSeq and is a predicted model, not a curated record. The transcript has 3 exons.
CAUGGAGACCACAUACUUCACAAGGUAUAUGCUCAAAUUGGAAGUGCAGUAAUUUUAUCAUGUGAGAUCUCAAAAGGGGCCUCAACACAGAGUUGGAGGAAAGGUUUAAUAGUUUUAACACAAGGAGUUGAGAUAAACAGAAACUUCCACAGCUACGGAAGACUUGAAGUUGUUAUUGAUGAAAAGUUUUAUAAUCUUAAGAUAUACAACAUAUCUAAAUAUGAUUUUGAUACUUACUGGUGCGAGAUGCAAAAAGACAACUCUAUAAGAGCUGAAGGAACAACUUUAAUUAAUUUAGACAGGCAUACUAUUAGUACUUUACGUGAUUCCUCCCCGUCUGAAACAAAAGACAGUACAGGAAUUCAUCUUGGUCAAAGCUUCUACUACGGUAUUUCUGCAACAGGAAUUGGGGUUAUUUGUCUGUCUAUUGGUUGCAUUUAUUUCAUUAAUAAAUGUAGAA